CUGGAACAAACGCCCUCACGGGUGCUACCCAGAAACCCUUUGUGAAUACUACCUAAAAUGUUGCCUCGGCAUUGGUUGGCCUCCUUGAGGUCCCUUUCCCUCGGGGAAGGAGCAGACCGGCCGGUGGCCCUAUAAACUCUUGUUUUUGUAAUAUCAUCUGAGUAAAAAACAUAAAUAAAUCA
This 182-nucleotide unclassified non-coding RNA is filed under the name uncultured Gnomoniaceae. The record is from RNAcentral. Lineage: Eukaryota; Fungi; Ascomycota; Sordariomycetes; Diaporthales; Gnomoniaceae.